RNAcentral lists this ribosomal RNA (1369 nucleotides) under Drepana pallida. RNAcentral's name for it is "16S ribosomal RNA". Lineage: Eukaryota; Metazoa; Arthropoda; Insecta; Lepidoptera; Drepanidae. The record is from RNAcentral.
AUAAUAUAUAUAUAUAUUUAUAUUUAUUUAAUAAUAUUCUAAAAAUAAAUUUAAUUUAAAUAUUUAAUCCUUUCGUACUAAAAUAUUUUUUAUUUUAAAAGAUAGAAACCAACCUGGCUCACACCGGUUUGAACUCAGAUCAUGUAAGAUUUUAAUGAUCGAACAGAUCAAAAAUUUUAAACUUCUGCAUUUAAAUUUUAUCUUAAUCCAACAUCGAGGUCGCAAACUUUCUUUCUUAUUUGAACUAAAAAAAAAAAUUACGCUGUUAUCCCUAAGGUAAUUUUCUCUUUUAAUCAUAAAAUAUGGAUCAAAAAAUCACUUAUUAAUGUUAACAAUUAUAAAAAGUUAUUUUUAUUUUUCUAUCACCCCAACAAAAUAUUUUAUUUUAUUUCAAUAAUAUAUUAAUAAAUAAUCUCUUUAAAAUAAAAUAUUAAACUCUAUAGGGUCUUCUCGUCUUUUUAAGUUAUUUUAACUUUUUAAAUAAAAAAUUAAGUUCAAUAAUUAACUAAGAGACAGUAUAUAUUUCAUCCAAUCUUUCAUACAAGUCACCAAUUAAGAGACUAAUGAUUAUGCUACCUUUGUACAGUCAUGAUACUGCAGCCCUUUAAUUAAUAUCAGUGGGCAGAUUAGACUUUAAAUUAUUUUCAAAAAGACAUGUUUUUGAUAAACAAGUGAAUAUAAAUUUAAUAAUUUGCCGAAUUCCUUUUAAUUAAUUUUUUAAAUAUAAUUUUUAUUAUUUUAUAUAUAUAUAUAUAUAUAUAUAUAAUAUUUACUAAUUUUAUCAUUAUAACUAAAAUUAUAAAAUUAAAAAUUAUUUUUUUAUAAAAACUUAAAUAUUAAUUAAAUUUUAUUUAAUAAUAAAAUUAUUUAUAAUAAAAUAUAAUUUAUUAACAAUAUAAAUUAUAAAAAUUUUAAUAAAUAUUUAAUAAUUAUUAUAAAAAUUUAAUUUAAAGCUUAUCCCUUAAAUUAUUUAAUAUUUUUAAAAGAAAUUUAAUUAAUUAAAUUUCUUUUAAAAAUAUUUAAAAUUAAAUUUUUUUCUAAAAAAACUAGAUAUAUUUAAAAACGAUUAACAUUUCAUUUCAAAUUAAUUAUUAAAAAUAUUUAUGCUACAAUAACUUUAUUAAUUAAUUAACUCUUUUAAAUUCGAGAAUUUUUUAUAAAUAAAAUUUAAUUAAUAAACUCUGAUACACAAGAUACACUAAAUAAAAAUUACUUUUUUAUAAACUUAUUUCAAAUAUUUUAAAUUUCUUUUACAAUACUAUUAAACUAUAAAUUAAAAAAUUUUUUUUUAUUGAUACUAUAACCCCCCAAUUAUAAUAAUCUAUUAAAAAUUUUUUUAUUAUUAAUUUUUUUUAUUAAUUUUAAAAUU